RNAcentral lists this transfer RNA (90 nucleotides) under Clostridioides difficile. RNAcentral describes it as "tRNA-Asp(gtc)". Lineage: Bacteria; Bacillati; Bacillota; Clostridia; Peptostreptococcales; Peptostreptococcaceae. RNAcentral also lists the same sequence under 1 other name. The record is from RNAcentral.
GGCCGGGCGGGUCGCGUGCGGCGCGGACCGUUCGGUCGGGACGGGAUCGGCGUGGUCAGCGCAGGUCGCGUUCGAUACGUGGCCAGGUCU